CCUAACACAUGCAAGUCGAACGGUAACAGGAAGAAGCUUCGCUUCUUUUGCUGACGAGUGGCGGACGGGUGAGUAAUGUCUGGGAAACUGCCUGAUGGAGGGGGAUAACUACUGGAAACGGUAGCUAAUACCGCAUAACGUCGCAAGACCAAAGAGGGGGACCUUCGGGCCUCUUGCCAUCGGAUGUGCCCAGAUGGGAUUAGCUAGUAGGUGGGGUAACGGCUCACCUAGGCGACGAUCCCUAGCUGGUCUGAGAGGAUGACCAGCCACACUGGAACUGAGACACGGUCCAGACUCCUACGGGAGGCAGCAGUGGGGAAUAUUGCACAAUGGGCGCAAGCCUGAUGCAGCCAUGCCGCGUGUAUGAAGAAGGCCUUCGGGUUGUAAG
RNAcentral lists this ribosomal RNA (388 nucleotides) under uncultured bacterium. RNAcentral's name for it is "bacterial SSU rRNA". It matches the Rfam family "Bacterial small subunit ribosomal RNA", at positions 47 to 429 of the family's 1533-position model. The record is from RNAcentral.